Molecule: non-coding RNA, 1179 nt
Organism: Lolium perenne
Lineage: Eukaryota; Viridiplantae; Streptophyta; Magnoliopsida; Poales; Poaceae
Source: RefSeq, a predicted model, not a curated record
GGCUUUGUGCGUUUGUGCUUCCUUUCCUCAGUUAAUAAUCUUUACGACGAUGCACAUACUCUGCGAGAAAUAAUAGCACAUGAAACGGAUGGAGGCAUACCAGACAUUUUGCGUAUUUUCUCCCCAUUUACCACUUGAACCCACGCUUGUGGCUGCAUAUAUUCACCAUUUCAGCAACCCACUUUUUCACUGCUCGCAACGGAACCAAAAUCCACGCUCCUCCCUACUCUGCAUCUCGCUCCUCCAUGGCCGCAACGUCUGAGCAUGAUCUCCCAUGCUAGCUGCUCCUUGCUUCGAUCCCUUGGAUUCAUCAAUUCUUACUCGACAUCCAACAUCAGUGUGCGAUGAUCUCUACCUUUAUGUUUACUAUUUUCUACAAAAUAUUUAGUUAUCUGCACAUUUUGAUUUGAGCUACUAUUAGUACUACAAUAUGGAUGAACGUUCCUAGCAGAUUGCUGACAUUAAGGAUUGAUCUGUUAGAUUGUGAAUUACAGAUUUUUUCAUUCAGAUUUCCUACAUCAACUACAACGUUUGUCUGGAGCUUCACCACAAGCCUUCUGGUCCUAGAAAAUCGACGCCUCACCUAGAUUGUCACCAUGAUUUCUAAGCCGAAGUGCGAAAGAUCCUUCUAAGAAAUUCAUGGAUCCAGGAGUUGGGCCAAUCCGUAUCAUGUAGCGCCUUCCCCUCUUUUUUAAAAUGCUACAGUUCCUCUUACUUUUCUGAGGCCUGUAUUUUUUUCCUGGAUCUGUUAUGAGUAUAGUCCUUUAAACCUUACAAUAAUCUUUUCUACUCACGCCUUUUCAACUUUUUAGAUGACUGAAGAUGGGGACUUUGAGAGUGCAAGAAGAUAUUCAUGUAGACUUAAAGUAUAACUCUCCCAGUGUGAUAAAAAUCAAACCUUGGAUGGUCAGCUUACACAAGUAAAGGAUAAUUUCACUUUGCAGAAGUAAAGUAUUAUUGCCAACAAGAGAUUUUAUUUGCCAAAAGCACCAUGAUAUAUGGAAGUAAUGCAAUGAUUCAUUGAAGAUGGCUGAUAACAUGUACACUGCUACGUCUUAUUGGAAGUUGGCACAACAAUAUGUUGAGCUAGAAAAUCUCGAGUGUGUUUUGUAGGAAUCAAUGGUUAUUUAAAUAUUUCUUGCAAAGCUAUUAGGCAUUAAAUAUUUCUCGCAAGGAAAA